Non-coding RNA from Ceratotherium simum simum (southern white rhinoceros), 99 nucleotides. Lineage: Eukaryota; Metazoa; Chordata; Mammalia; Perissodactyla; Rhinocerotidae. The record is from RefSeq and is a predicted model, not a curated record.
CUUUUUGCAGAUAUAAUCAAGUUAAGAUGAGGUCAUACUGGAGUGUGGUGAGCCCUAAAUCUAAUACGACUGAUGUCCUUAUAAGAAGAAAAGAGACAG